Molecule: ribosomal RNA, 492 nt
Filed under: uncultured bacterium
Lineage: Bacteria
Description: partial 16S ribosomal RNA
Rfam family: Bacterial small subunit ribosomal RNA
Source: RNAcentral
GGUGAACGCUGGCGGUAGGCCUAACACAUGCAAGUCGAACGGCAGCACAGUAAGAGCUUGCUCUUACGGGUGGCGAGUGGCGGACGGGUGAGGAAUACAUCGGAAUCUACUUUUUCGUGGGGGAUAACGUAGGGAAACUUACGCUAAUACCGCAUACGACCUACGGGUGAAAGCAGGGGAUCUUCGGACCUUGCGCGAUUGAAUGAGCCGAUGUCGGAUUAGCUAGUUGGCGGGGUAAAGGCCCACCAAGGCGACGCUCCGUAGCUGGUCUGAGAGGAUGAUCAGCCACACUGGAACUGAGACACGGUCCAGACUCCUACGGGAGGCAGCAGUGGGGAAUAUUGGACAAUGGGCGCAAGCCUGAUCCAGCCAUACCGCGUGGGUGAAGAAGGCCUUCGGGUUGUAAAGCCCUUUUGUUGGGAGAGAAAAGCAGCAGGUUAAUACCCCGCUGUUCUGACGGUACCCAAAGAAUAAGCACCGGCUAACUUCGUG